Molecule: ribosomal RNA, 469 nt
Filed under: uncultured bacterium
Lineage: Bacteria
Description: partial 16S ribosomal RNA
Rfam family: Bacterial small subunit ribosomal RNA
Source: RNAcentral
GACGAACGCUGGCGGCGUGCUUAACACAUGCCAGUCGAACGGAAAGGCCCUGCUUGCAGGGUGCUCGAGUGGCGAACGGGUGAGUAACACGUGGGUGAUCUGCCCCUUACUUUGGGAUAAGCCUGGGAAACUGGGUCUAAUACUGGAUAGGACCAUGCUGUAGGUGGUGUGGUGGAAAGAUUAGUUUCGGUAAGGGAUGAGCUCGCGGCCUAUCAGCUUGUUGGUGGGGUAAUGGCCUACCAAGGCGUCGACGGGUAGCCGGCCUGAGAGGGUGGACGGCCACAUUGGGACUGAGAUACGGACCAGACGCCUACGGGAGGCAGCAGUGGGGAAUAUUGCAAAAUGGGAGCAAGCCUGAUGCAGCGACGCAGCGUGGGGGAUGACGGCCUUCGGGUUGUAAACUCCUUUCAGCCAUGACGAAGCCCUUGUGGUGACGGUAGUGGUAGAAGAAGCACCGGCUAACUACGUG